GACGAACCGUGCGAACGUUAUUCGGAAUCACUGGGCUUAAAGCGCGUGUAGGCGGGCCCGCACGUCGGUGCUGAAAGCCCCCGGCUCAACCGGGGAACGGGCGCCGAUACGACCGGCCUGGAGGGGCGUAGGGGGACCGGGAACUUCCUGUGGAGCGGUGAAAUGCGUUGAGAUCGGAAGGAACGCCCGUGGCGAAAGCGCGGUCCUGGACGCCUACUGACGCUGAGACGCGAAAGCCAGGGGAGCGAACGGG
This 253-nucleotide ribosomal RNA is filed under the name uncultured bacterium. RNAcentral's name for it is "partial 16S ribosomal RNA". It matches the Rfam family "Bacterial small subunit ribosomal RNA", at positions 524 to 776 of the family's 1533-position model. The record is from RNAcentral.